Molecule: ribosomal RNA, 402 nt
Filed under: uncultured bacterium
Lineage: Bacteria
Description: partial 16S ribosomal RNA
Rfam family: Bacterial small subunit ribosomal RNA
Source: RNAcentral
AAUAUUGCACAAUGGGCGAAAGCCUGAUGCAGCAACGCCGCGUGAGGGAUGAUGGCCUUCGGGUUGUAAACCUCUUUUAGUAGGGAAGAAGCGAAAGUGUCGGUACCUGAAGAAAUAGCACCGGCUAACUACGUGCCUGCAGCCGCGGGAAUACGUAGGGUGCAAGCGUUGUCCGGAAUUAUUGGGCGUAAAGAGAUCGUAGGCGGCUUGUCGCGGCUGCUGUGAAAUCCCGGAGCUCAACGCCGGGCGUGCUGUGGGUACGGGCAGGCUAGAGUGCGGUAGGGGAGAUUGGAAUUCCUGGUGUAGCGGUGGAAUGCGCAGAUAUCAGGAGGAACACCGAUGGCGAAGGCAGAUCUCUGGGCCGCUACUGACGCUGAGGAGCGAAAGCAUGGGGAGCGAACA